UUUACUAUCUGGGAUGUCACA
This 21-nucleotide microRNA is filed under the name Brachypodium distachyon (stiff brome). RNAcentral describes it as "bdi-miR7736-5p". The record is from miRBase by way of RNAcentral. Lineage: Eukaryota; Viridiplantae; Streptophyta; Magnoliopsida; Poales; Poaceae.